GAUGAACGCUGGCGGCGUGCUUAACACAUGCAAGUCGAACGGAAAGGCCCAAGCUUGCUUGGGUACUCGAGUGGCGAACGGGUGAGUAACACGUGGGUGAUCUGCCCUGCACUUCGGGAUAAGCCUGGGAAACUGGGUCUAAUACCGGAUAGGACCACUUCUUGGAUGUUGUGGUGGAAAGUUUUUUCGGUGUGGGAUGAGCUCGCGGCCUAUCAGCUUGUUGGUGGGGUAAUGGCCUACCAAGGCGUCGACGGGUAGCCGGCCUGAGAGGGUGUACGGCGACAUUGGGACUGAGAUACGGCACAGACUCCGACGGGAGGCAGCAGUGGGGAAUAUUGAACAAUGGGCGCAAGCCUGAUGCAGCGAGGCCGCGUGGGGGAUGACGGCCUUCGGGUUGUAAACUCCUUUCGCUAGGGACGAAGCGUUUUGUGACGGUACCUGGAGAAGAAGCACCGGCUAACUACGUG
RNAcentral lists this ribosomal RNA (467 nucleotides) under uncultured bacterium. RNAcentral's name for it is "partial 16S ribosomal RNA". It matches the Rfam family "Bacterial small subunit ribosomal RNA", at positions 28 to 507 of the family's 1533-position model. The record is from RNAcentral.